This 303-nucleotide ribosomal RNA is filed under the name uncultured fungus. RNAcentral's name for it is "eukaryotic LSU rRNA". The stretch from base 1 to 52 matches the Rfam family "5.8S ribosomal RNA", at positions 103 to 154 of the family's 154-position model. The record is from RNAcentral. Lineage: Eukaryota; Fungi.
AACGCACCUUGCGCCCUUUGGUAUUCCGAAGGGCACACCUGUUUGAGUGUCGUGAAAUUCUCAACCCUCUUCACUUUUUUGGUGAAGCCAGGGCUUGGACUUGGAGGCUUUGCCGGCUCUGCUCGGCUCCUCUCAAAUGCAUUAGUGCGUCUUGUUGCGACGUGCGCCUCGGUGUGAUAAUCUAUGACCGCUGAGGACAUCUCUCGGGAUGGCCAAGCCUGCCUUGAACUGCUUCUAACUCAUCAUUUCAUGAUAUUUUUCAACUUUGACCUCGAAUCAGGCGGGACUACCCGCUGAACUUAA